RNAcentral lists this long non-coding RNA (296 nucleotides) under Homo sapiens (human). RNAcentral's name for it is "non-protein coding lnc-ZNF827-7:1". Lineage: Eukaryota; Metazoa; Chordata; Mammalia; Primates; Hominidae. The record is from RNAcentral.
CUGAAGUCCUUUUAAGGAAGACACCACCUACCACCACCAUGGGUGAUAGGCUGUCAUCACUACUACAACAUCUGCCUAUGCAUCCUUGAAUAUAAACAGGUACUUAAAAGCACAGCAUUGACAACAACAAAAAAUGCUUUCCUUUUGGCUUGAAAGAAGGCAAUAAGAAGAAAGAUUUUAGGAGCUGAGCUGGAAAUUAAGAAGAAAGCCUCAAGGUUCUGUGAGCAUGAACCUACUUAAGGGGUCUUGCCUCCAAGACAGUAUUUAGGAUAUAUGGAAAGAAGCACAGGAAAAAA